RNAcentral lists this ribosomal RNA (555 nucleotides) under Triticum aestivum (bread wheat). RNAcentral describes it as "partial small subunit ribosomal RNA". The record is from RNAcentral. Lineage: Eukaryota; Viridiplantae; Streptophyta; Magnoliopsida; Poales; Poaceae.
AUGCAUGUCAGUAUGAUGUUAUUAAGCUAUGCAACUCUUUUGUGCGGAUCCUUAUUAUCUGCCGCUAUUCUAAUCAUUAAAUUUCGAAAUAAUUUCCAUUUCUUUUCUAAAAAGAAAAAAGUUUUAAAUAAAUCAUUUUUCUUUAGUGAUAUUAAAUAUUUCUAUGCAAAAAGAAGUGCUUUAAAAAGAACCUAUGUCCCUUCAUUUCCAAAUUAUUACAAAUAUCAAUUAACGGAGCAUUUGGAUUCUUGGAGUUAUCGUGUCAUUAGCCUAGGAUUUACCCUUUUAACCAUAGGUAUUCUUUGUGGAGCAGUAUGGGCUAAUGAGGCCUGGGGAUCCUAUUGGAAUUGGGAUCCAAAGGAAACCUGGGCAUUUAUUACUUGGACCAUAUUCGCAAUUUAUUUACAUAGUAGAACAAAUCCGAAUUGGAAGGGUACGAAUUCUGCACUUAUAGCUUCGACAGGAUUUCUUACAAUUUGGAUUUGUUAUUUUGGUAUAAAUCUAUUAGGAAUAGGCUUACAUACUUAUGGUUCGUUUACAUUAACACCUAAAUGA